Molecule: ribosomal RNA, 486 nt
Filed under: uncultured bacterium
Lineage: Bacteria
Description: bacterial SSU rRNA
Rfam family: Bacterial small subunit ribosomal RNA
Source: RNAcentral
GAUGAACGCUAGCGGAAGGCUUAAUACAUGCAAGUCGAGCGGUAGGUGGCUUCGGCCAUUGAGAGCGGCGCACGGGUGAGUAACGCGUACAUGACCUGCCUGUCAGAAGGGGAUAGCCCUGGGAAACUGGGAUUAAUACCCUAUGGUAUUGAUAUUAUGAAUGAUAUCAAUUAAAGUUGAGGCGCUGACAGAUGGAUGUGCGUCUGAUUAGCUAGUUGGUAGGGUAACGGCCUACCAAGGCGACGAUCAGUAGGGGGCGUGAGAGCGUGGUCCCCCACACGGGUACUGAGACACGGACCCGACUCCUACGGGAGGCAGCAGUAAGGAAUAUUGGUCAAUGCCCGCAAGGGUGAACCAGCCAUUCCGCGUGGAGGAUGAAGGCCCUAUGGGUUGUAAACUUCUUUUAGAUGGGAAGAAAUGCUAGAUGUAUCUGGUACUGACGGUACCAUCAGAAUAAGCACCGGCUAACUCCGUGCCAGCAGCCGC